Molecule: ribosomal RNA, 253 nt
Filed under: uncultured bacterium
Lineage: Bacteria
Description: partial 16S ribosomal RNA
Rfam family: Bacterial small subunit ribosomal RNA
Source: RNAcentral
UACGGGGGGGGCAAGCGUUGUUCGGAAUUACUGGGCGUAAAGGGCUCGUAGGUGGCCAACUAAGUCAGACGUGAAAUCCCCAGGCUUAACUGGGGAACUGCGUCUGAUACUGGAUGGCUUGAGUUUGGGAGAGGGAUGCGGAAUUCCAGGUGUAGCGGUGAAAUGCGUAGAUAUCUGGAGGAACACCGGUGGCGAAGGCGGCAUCCUGGACCAACACUGACACUGAUGAGCGAAAGCCAGGGGAGCAAACGGG